This 497-nucleotide ribosomal RNA is filed under the name uncultured bacterium. RNAcentral describes it as "partial 16S ribosomal RNA". It matches the Rfam family "Bacterial small subunit ribosomal RNA", at positions 28 to 523 of the family's 1533-position model. The record is from RNAcentral.
GAUGAACGCUGGCGGCGUGCUUAACACAUGCAAGUCGAACGAAGCACCUUAUUCUGAUUUCUUCGGAAUGAAAAAUUUGGUGACUGAGUGGCGGACGGGUGAGUAACGCGUGGGUAACCUGCCUCAUACAGGGGGAUAACAGUUAGAAAUGACUGCUAAUACCGCAUAAGACCACAGCACCGCAUGGUGCAGGGGUAAAAACUCCGGUGGGAUGAGAUGGACCCGCGUCUGAUUAGGUAGUUGGUGGGGAAACGGCAUACCACGCCGACGAUCAGUAGCCGACCUGAGAGGGUGACCGGCCACAUUGGGACUGAGACACGGCCCAAACUCCUACGGGAGGCAGCAGUGGGGAGUAUUGCACAAUGGGGGAAACCCUGAUGCAGCGACGCCGCGUGAGCGAUGAAGUAUUUCGGUAUGUAAAGCUCUAUCAGCAGGGAAGAAAAUGACGGUACCUGACUAAGAAGCACCGGCUAAAUACGUGCCAGCAGCCGCCGUAA